RNAcentral lists this ribosomal RNA (376 nucleotides) under uncultured bacterium. RNAcentral's name for it is "bacterial SSU rRNA". It matches the Rfam family "Bacterial small subunit ribosomal RNA", at positions 524 to 898 of the family's 1533-position model. The record is from RNAcentral.
UACGUAGGGGGCAAGCGUUGUCCGGAAUCAUUGGGCGUAAAGGGCGCGUAGGCGGAUACUUAAGUCUGGUGUGAAAACCUAGGGCUCAACCCUGGGACUGCAUCGGAAACUGGGUAUCUUGAGGACAGGAGAGGAAAGUGGAAUUCCACGUGUAGCGGUGAAAUGCGUAGAUAUGUGGAGGAACACCAGUGGCGAAGGCGACUUUCUGGACUGUAACUGACGCUGAGGCGCGAAAGCGUGGGGAGCAAACAGGAUUAGAUACCCUGGUAGUCCACGCCGUAAACGAUGAGUGCUAGGUGUAGAGGGUAUCGACCCCUUCUGUGCCGCAGUUAACACACUAAGCACUCCGCCUGGGGAGUACGGCCGCAAGGUUGAA